GAUGAACGCUGGCGGCGUGCCUAAUACAUGCAAGUCGAGCGAACGGACGAGAAGCUUGCUUUUCUGAUGUUUGCGGCGGACGGGUGAGUAACACGUGGAUAACCUACCUAUAAGACUGGGAUAACUUCGGGAAACCGGAGCUAAUACCGGAUAAUAUUUUGAACCGCAUGGUUCAAAAGUGAAAGACGGUCUUGCUGUCACUUAUAGAUGGAUCCGCGCUGCAUUAGCUAGUUGGUAAGGUAACGGCUUACCAAGGCAACGAUGCAUAGCCGACCUGAGAGGGUGAUCGGCCACACGGGAACUGAGACACGGUCCAGACUCCUACGGGAGGCAGCAGUAGGGAAUCUUCCGCAAUGGGCGAAAGCCUGACGGAGCAACGCCGCGUGAGUGAUGAAGGUCUUCGGAUCGUAAAACUCUGUUAUUAGGGAAGAACAUAUGUGGAAGUAGCUGUGCACAUCUUGACGGUACCUAAUCAGAAAGCCACGGCUAACUACGUG
RNAcentral lists this ribosomal RNA (497 nucleotides) under uncultured bacterium. RNAcentral's name for it is "partial 16S ribosomal RNA". It matches the Rfam family "Bacterial small subunit ribosomal RNA", at positions 28 to 507 of the family's 1533-position model. The record is from RNAcentral.